RNAcentral lists this ribosomal RNA (682 nucleotides) under uncultured organism. RNAcentral describes it as "bacterial SSU rRNA". It matches the Rfam family "Bacterial small subunit ribosomal RNA", at positions 40 to 769 of the family's 1533-position model. The record is from RNAcentral.
CGGCAGGCCUAACACAUGCAAGUCGAACGCACCUUCGGGUGAGUGGCAGACGGGUGAGUAACGCGUGGGAACCUGCCCUGUGGUACGGAAUAACUCUGGGAAACCGGAGCGAAGAGCGUAUACGCCCUACGGGGGAAAGAUUUAUCGCCAUAGGAUGGGCCCGCGUCAGAUUAGCUUGUUGGUGGGGUAACGGCCUACCAAGGCUACGAUCUGUAGCUGGUCUGAGAGGAUGAUCAGCCACACUGGGACUGAGACACGGCCCAGACUCCUACGGGAGGCAGCAGUGAGGAAUCUUGGACAAUGGGCGAAAGCCUGAUCCAGCCAUGCCGCGUGAGUGAAGAAGGCCCUAGGGUUGUAAAGCUCUUUCAGCGGGGAAGAUAAUGACGGUACCCGCAGAAGAAGCCCCGGCUAACUUCGUGCCAGCAGCCGCGGUAAUACGAAGGGGGCUAGCGUUGUUCGGAAUUACUGGGCGUAAAGCGCGCGUAGGCGGACUGGCCAGUCAGGGGUGAAAGCCCGGGGCUUAACCUCGGAACUGCCCUUGAUACUGCCAGUCUAGAGUCCGGCAGAGGUGAGUUGGAAUUCCUAGUGUAGAGGUGAAAUUCGUAGAUAUUAGGAAGAACACCAGUGGCGAAGGCGGCUCACUGGGCCGAGACUGACGCUGAGGCGCGAAAGCGUGGGGAGC